GUGCUCGCUUCAGCAGCACAUAUACUAAAAUUGGAACGGUACAGAGAAGAUUAGCAUGGCCCCUUUGCAGGGAUGACAUGCAAAUUCAUGAAGCAUUCCAUAUUUAA
RNAcentral lists this small nuclear RNA (107 nucleotides) under Jaculus jaculus (lesser Egyptian jerboa). The record is from RNAcentral. Lineage: Eukaryota; Metazoa; Chordata; Mammalia; Rodentia; Dipodidae.